Gasterosteus aculeatus aculeatus (three-spined stickleback) is the source of this 1157-nucleotide long non-coding RNA. NCBI's taxonomy places the organism in Eukaryota, Metazoa, Chordata, Actinopteri, Perciformes, Gasterosteidae. The record is from Ensembl.
ACAUUGCUAAAUGCAUCGAGGUCUCAGAAACGUUUUAGUGCCGGCAAAAGAGUUUGAUUUGUUUAAAUAACCAGGUGGGAAGAAUGUUGAUGACUCAUGUCAGGGAUCAGGGAACAUUUAUUGACAAAAUAUGUCAAACCUACAAGGAAUUUGUCUUGGCUGUUGGUGCGUGACAGUAUAUCAGUCGAAAACCAUUUUGUUCGGAUUUUGUUCCUUCUAAGACGAAGUGGUCAACUGCCUUAUUGCCUGCACAAAUAUUUAUACUUGGGGACAAGAUACUCGUCAAAUAUAAGACAAUAGCACUGCAAUAAACAAGACUACAAACUUUACGAAUUGUAUUUCCACCGUCUGUAUGAAUAACAGAUAUACCGCGGGUACGGAAAGUUUUCAGACCCUUUUAAAUUUUUCGCUCUUUGUUUCAGUGCAACCAUUUGCUAAAGUGAAAAUGAAUUGAAAAGUUGUUUUAUUUCUCAUUAAUGUACACUGGUAAUUGUAUUGGGGGUGGUUGUGGUGGUGGCAGUUGAUGUUGAACAGUCACAGCUAUUAAAAUAUUGUUUAAUCCAAAUGUCAAAAAAAGGUUGGUUAUCAGGGUUUUUGUUAAUGCCCAUGGUUGUUCUGCUAUAUGUCACUUUAGCUCAAGCCGUUGUACUUGUUAUGAAAUAGCAGUGUUUCCCCUAAAACGUCAGGGCGGGGGAUAGUCGGGCAAAGCCAACCGGUCCGACCGGGUGGAUGAUGAUCAGGCAAACGGUUCAGCGAGAAGGGGGUAGUGGUGCUUUGUGCCCCGCUGCUGGGGGCUAACACGCACAUAUUCGCGACAUAUUCGUGUCAGUGUGGAACUGCCGUGGGUCAAAUGGUAGGGGAAACACUGGAUAGACACACCAAUUGAAGUACUAUUUAAAAAAUUAGGAAUUUCCAGGUACAUUGAGGCGGAACAAGGAAACAAGUUAAAUUUCCCAAACAAGAACACACCCACACCUCAUUACAAUGACUAACGAUGGCUGUGGGCUAUCUAAUUGGCACUGUUGUGAAACUUCCUGGGUUAACAGGUUUGACAUGAGCCUCAUCGACUUCAUCAUGACAGCAGUCAUUCAGAGGGUAGCGGCGGAUGUUGUGGUCGGUGUAGUUGCUGUAUGUGUUGCGAUGGUGUAAGUUGUAGU